This 792-nucleotide ribosomal RNA is filed under the name uncultured Sulfitobacter sp. RNAcentral describes it as "bacterial SSU rRNA". It matches the Rfam family "Bacterial small subunit ribosomal RNA", at positions 34 to 872 of the family's 1533-position model. Lineage: Bacteria; Pseudomonadati; Pseudomonadota; Alphaproteobacteria; Rhodobacterales; Roseobacteraceae. The record is from RNAcentral.
CGCUGGCGGCAGGCCUAACACAUGCAAGUCGAGCGCAGUCCUUCGGGACCGAGCGGCGGACGGGUUAGUAACGCGUGGGAACAUACCCUUUUCUACGGAAUAGCCUCGGGAAACUGAGAGUAAUACCGUAUAAGCCCUUCGGGGGAAAGAUUUAUCGGGAAAGGAUUGGCCCGCGUUAGAUUAGAUAGUUGGUGGGGUAAUGGCCUACCAAGUCUACGAUCUAUAGCUGGUUUUAGAGGAUGAUCAGCAACACUGGGACUGAGACACGGCCCAGACUCCUACGGGAGGCAGCAGUGGGGAAUCUUAGACAAUGGGCGCAAGCCUGAUCUAGCCAUGCCGCGUGUGUGAUGAAGGUCUUAGGAUCGUAAAGCACUUUCGCCAGGGAUGAUAAUGACAGUACCUGGUAAAGAAACCCCGGCUAACUCCGUGCCAGCAGCCGCGGUAAUACGGAGGGGGUUAGCGUUGUUCGGAAUUACUGGGCGUAAAGCGUACGUAGGCGGAUCAGAAAGUUAGGGGUGAAAUCCCGAGGCUCAACCUCGGAACUGCCUCUAAAACUCCUGGUCUUGAGUUCGAGAGAGGUGAGUGGAAUUCCAAGUGUAGAGGUGAAAUUCGUAGAUAUUUGGAGGAACACCAGUGGCGAAGGCGGCUCACUGGCUCGAUACUGACGCUGAGGUACGAAAGUGUGGGGAGCAAACAGGAUUAGAUACCCUGGUAGUCCACACCGUAAACGAUGAAUGCCAGUCGUCGGGCAGUAUACUGUUCGGUGACACACCUAACGGAUUAAGCAUCCGC